UACGAAGGGGGCUAGCGUUGCUCGGAAUCACUGGGCGUAAAGGGUGCGUAGGCGGGGCUUUAAGUCAGGGGUGAAAUCCUGGAGCUCAACUCCAGAACUGCCUUUGAUACUGAGGAUCUUGAGUUCGGGAGAGGUGAGUGGAACUGCGAGUGUAGAGGUGAAAUUCGUAGAUAUUCGGAAGAACACCAGUGGCGAAGGCGACUCGCUGGACAGACAUUGACGCUGAGGUGCGAAAGCGUGGGGAGCAAACAGG
RNAcentral lists this ribosomal RNA (253 nucleotides) under uncultured bacterium. RNAcentral describes it as "partial 16S ribosomal RNA". It matches the Rfam family "Bacterial small subunit ribosomal RNA", at positions 524 to 776 of the family's 1533-position model. The record is from RNAcentral.